UCUGGGCGGGGGGGCGGGCUCUCAGAGGGGUUGGCAGUACUGCUCUGAGGCCUGCCUCUCCCCAG
This is a microRNA precursor of Chlorocebus sabaeus (green monkey), 65 nucleotides long. NCBI's taxonomy places the organism in Eukaryota, Metazoa, Chordata, Mammalia, Primates, Cercopithecidae. The record is from Ensembl.